This 359-nucleotide ribosomal RNA is filed under the name uncultured bacterium. RNAcentral's name for it is "bacterial SSU rRNA". It matches the Rfam family "Bacterial small subunit ribosomal RNA", at positions 29 to 416 of the family's 1533-position model. The record is from RNAcentral.
AACGAACGCUGGCGGCAGGCCUAACACAUGCAAGUCGAACGCUCCGCAAGGGGAGUGGCGCACGGGUGAGUAACACGUGGGAACCUACCUUCUGGUACGGAACAACCAAGGGAAACUUUGGCUAAAACCGUAAUACGACCUCCGGGUGAAAGAUUGAUCGCCGGAAGAGGGGCCCGCGUCCGAUUAGGUAGUUGGUGAGGUAACGGCUCACCAAGCCUACGAUCGGUAGCUGGUCUGAGAGGAUGGCCAGCCACACUGGGACUGAGACACGGCCCAGACUCCUACGGGAGGCAGCAGUGGGGAAUAUUGGACAAUGGACGAAAGUCUGAUCCAGCAACGCCGCGUGAGCGAUGAAGGCC